AAAGUGAAGAAAUUCAACC
RNAcentral lists this small nuclear RNA (19 nucleotides) under Arabidopsis thaliana (thale cress). Its description in RNAcentral is "snRNA_03531". The record is from RNAcentral. Lineage: Eukaryota; Viridiplantae; Streptophyta; Magnoliopsida; Brassicales; Brassicaceae.